UGUCUCAAAAACAAAUGAGUAGAGAAAUAAGGAAACAGCCAAACAACUAGCUUUCCCAGCACCCAGCACAGGCCUCUGAGUCCCACCUCUCUCCAUGUCCGGGGACCUCUCAGCCUGCUCCCAUUUUGAUCAUGUCAGUGAAUGGCCCCACCCAAUCCCGAAGCCCCAAACCCAGACCUUAAUCUUGACUUGUUUUCUGUUCACCCCACACAUCCUGCUAUUAAGUCUGUCUGCUGAGAUCCCAGUAAGAACUUCCAGUCUGUUCGCCUCCUCCCUCUGCUCCCCAGGGACACUACUAAGUGCCUGGCUGGGGCCACCAGUGCCUGGGGUGCACAGAACACUGCCAGCUCUGCCCUAGACUCUUCAGCUCAGCAUGCGCCUUCUGGAACCUGAGUCAGAUGCAGACUCCAGGGCCCCAAGCUUCUACUGAGACAGUCAGCAGCAAGUUCAUUUCUGAGUAGAGAACUUUCUAGACACCUCUCCACACUCAGAGCCAAAACCGCUUCUUCGACCCAUGGUAGGCUCCAAGUUAUAAUCCACAUACAGGAAACCCCAGGUUCCACAAGGCCUCCUUCAUGUCUGCAGAGCCAGACUGAGGACUCGGGGUGACUUAGGGCCCUCCUGAGUGAUUAGGGCUCCCUAAAAGCAGACUCACUGAUUUUCCCCAGUGGGCCUGUGACUGUAAGUAGCUGGGCGGGGCAUAAGCCAUCCACAGCUGGAUCCUGUUAUCCAGUCCACUAGCCCACCCACUGGCCUGGGCCUUUGGCAGAUAAUCCCAGCCAGAUGGCCUGGUUCAGCCAGGCAGUGGUUCUGGAUACCAACACCAAUCCAGAUAGGUAGCUGGGGCUGGCUGCAGGCUGAGGCACCAGCCAGUGGGCGUGGAAAGGAAUACUCUUGAGAACCUGACCCAGGCAGCGUUCUGCUUUCUUCAGGGCAUUACUGCCCUUUAGGAUCGGACCAUCGGCACCUUUUCUAGCACCUUGGAGCAGCAAAUCCUCAUACCUGAGAGCAUCCCCUCUGCCCAUGCACACUCCUCCACCUUCAAGUUCCAACUCUGCUGCAUCCCGGUCUGUGGGCCCUGACAGCGUUUUGCAUGCUCCUGGGCCUCGUUUUCCAAAUAUGCUCUAUGGAGGCAGUACCGGCCCUGCCCUUGGUAUAGGGCGUUGGGAUGAGCAAAAUCGACAAAUAUUCUGAUUCCAAGGCUCCUGCUAGACAGAGGAGUAGGCCUGUAGUAGUGACGUGCACCAUGAACAAAACCAGGAUGAACGUUCAAGGCAAGCUGGCCAGGGUCAUCGGGCUGAGAGGAUGGGAUCCCAGCACUUGGAGGGAAGCCAGGAGGGAGGGGUAUCAGGUGGAAGAAAAGCAAGGACGAAGGCCCCGAGGUAGAUGGGAGUGUGUGGGUGGGGUUUGACAAUCGAGAUUGGCGACAGCAAUAGACUCCAUGUGUCUUUCAGGGGGAAAGGCGCAUGAGGCUCAGGGUUCAGAAAGGCAUCUGUUAGUAGAGAGGGGGUCAUGCCUUGGAUCAAUGAUGGCCAUCCUCAGCCUGUGGCUGGGUGGCCUCAGACAAGUGUCUCCACCUCCCUGGGACACAUCAUUGAAACAGUGACAACCACAGCUUCUACCUCCGGGGUUGCUGGGAGCACUGAUGGUGGGGUACACAGCUCGGCGCGGUUGUGUAACCAGCAGGUGACAAACCCCAGUGCCUGUGUGUUACAGGUCCCCUCAUGGCGAUGCUGGCUGACAGCAUGGCUGAGUCCUAUCACUGCUGUUUUAGAGAGGUGUUCCGGACGCAUGUGAGUGAACACAGCCAUGGUCAAACACCAUCAACAGUGUGGACUCGCUCCUGUCACGGUGAAGGUCCACUCCUGUCACGGCGCGGCCCUACUCUUGGGGAAGGAAGAUACCAUGAGCCACAGUGACCAGCCCCUGGGGAGGAGUAACAACGGGGAGCAGCAUCUUCUAUUUGUGCUACACAUCUCAUCUAUGUUUGCAUUUUAAAAGUAUACCGAAAGGCCAGACGGCUCAGUGGCGAAGGAGCUUGCAGCCAAGCCUGAGGACCUGACGGUGAUCCCAGGAGCCCACAUGGUAGAAGAGAACCACCUCCUGCAAGCUACCCUCUGAUCUCCACACACAUACCCUAAAAUAAAGAAGUGUUGAAAGU
Molecule: long non-coding RNA, 2161 nt
Organism: Peromyscus leucopus (white-footed mouse)
Lineage: Eukaryota; Metazoa; Chordata; Mammalia; Rodentia; Cricetidae
Exons: 2
Source: RefSeq, a predicted model, not a curated record